Molecule: ribosomal RNA, 484 nt
Filed under: uncultured bacterium
Lineage: Bacteria
Description: partial 16S ribosomal RNA
Rfam family: Bacterial small subunit ribosomal RNA
Source: RNAcentral
AUUGAACGCUGGCGGCAGGCCUAACACAUACAAGUCGAGCGGAUGAAGGGAGCUUGCUCCUGGAUUCAGCGGCGGACGGGUGAGUAAUGCCUAGGAAUCUGCCUGGUAGUGGGGGAUAACGUCCGGAAACGGGCGCUAAUACCGCAUACGUCCUGAGGGAGAAAGUGGGGGAUCUUCGGACCUCACGCUAUCAGAUGAGCCUAGGUCGGAUUAGCUAGUUGGUGGGGUAAAGGCCUACCAAGGCGACGAUCCGUAACUGGUCUGAGAGGAUGAUCAGUCACACUGGAACUGAGACACGGUCCAGACUCCUACGGGAGGCAGCAGUGGGGAAUAUUGGACAAUGGGCGAAAGCCUGAUCCAGCCAUGCCGCGUGUGUGAAGAAGGUCUUCGGAUUGUAAAGCACUUUAAGUUGGGAGGAAGGGCAGUAAGUUAAUACCUUGCUGUUUUGACGUUACCAACAGAAUAAGCGCCGGCUAACUUCGUG